Molecule: ribosomal RNA, 427 nt
Filed under: uncultured bacterium
Lineage: Bacteria
Description: partial 16S ribosomal RNA
Rfam family: Bacterial small subunit ribosomal RNA
Source: RNAcentral
UGGGGAAUAUUGCACAAUGGGCGCAAGCCUGAUGCAGCCAUGCCGCGUGUAUGAAGAAGGCCUUCGGGUUGUAAAGUACUUUCAGCGGGGAGGAAGGGAGUAAAGUUAAUACCUUUGCUCAUUGACGUUACCCGCAGAAGAAGCACCGGCUAACUCCGUGCCAGCAGCCGCGGUAAUACGGAGGGUGCAAGCGGUAAUCGGAAUUACUGGGCGUAAAGCGCACGCAGGAGGUUUGUUAAGUCAGAUGUGAAAUCCCCGGGCUCAACCUGGGAACUGCAUCUGAUACUGGCAAGCUUGAGUCUCGUAGAGGGGGGUAGAAUUCCAGGUGUAGCGGUGAAAUGCGUAGAGAUCUGGAGGAAUACCGGUGGCGAAGGCGGCCCCCUGGACGAAGACUGACGCUCAGGUGCGAAAGCGUGGGGAGCAAACA